RNAcentral lists this ribosomal RNA (497 nucleotides) under uncultured bacterium. RNAcentral describes it as "partial 16S ribosomal RNA". It matches the Rfam family "Bacterial small subunit ribosomal RNA", at positions 28 to 507 of the family's 1533-position model. The record is from RNAcentral.
GAUGAACGCUGGCGGCGUGCCUAAUACAUGCAAGUCGAGCGAACAGACGAGGCGCUUGCUCCUCUGACGUUAGCGGCGGACGGGUGAGUCACACGUGGAUACCCUCCCUAUCAGACUGGGAUAACUUCGAGACACCGGCGCUAAUACCGGAUAAUCUAUUGAACCGCAUGGUUCAAUAGUAAGAUACGGUUUUUCUGUCUCUUCUCGCUGGAUCCGCGCCGCAUUAGCUAGUUGGUAAGGUAACGGCUUUCCAAGGCGACGAUGCGUAAGCGACCUGAGAGGGUGAUAGGCCACCUUGGAAGGGGGACACGGUCCAGACUACUAAGGGAGGGAGCAGAAGGGAAUGUGCCGCAACGGGCGAAAGCAUGACGGAGCAAGGGCGCGUGAGUGAUGAAGGCCUUCGGAUCGUAAAACUCUGUUAUUAGGGAAGAACAAAUGUGUAAGUAACUAUGGACGGCUUGACGGUACCGAAUCAGAAAGCCACGGCUAACUACGUG